Molecule: ribosomal RNA, 304 nt
Filed under: uncultured Acinetobacter sp.
Lineage: Bacteria; Pseudomonadati; Pseudomonadota; Gammaproteobacteria; Moraxellales; Moraxellaceae
Description: bacterial SSU rRNA
Rfam family: Bacterial small subunit ribosomal RNA
Source: RNAcentral
AUUGAACGCUGGCGGCAGGCUUAACACAUGCAAGUCGAGCGGAGAUGAGGUGCUUGCACCUUAUCUUAGCGGCGGACGGGUGAGUAAUGCUUAGGAAUCUGCCUAUUAGUGGGGGACAACAUUCCGAAAGGAAUGCUAAUACCGCAUACGUCCUACGGGAGAAAGCAGGGGAUCUUCGGACCUUGCGCUAAUAGAUGAGCCUAAGUCGGAUUAGCUAGUUGGUGGGGUAAAGGCCUACCAAGGCGACGAUCUGUAGCGGGUCUGAGAGGAUGAUCCGCCACACUGGGACUGAGACACGGCCCAG